RNAcentral lists this ribosomal RNA (465 nucleotides) under Vreelandella stevensii. Its description in RNAcentral is "partial 16S ribosomal RNA". It matches the Rfam family "Bacterial small subunit ribosomal RNA", at positions 338 to 795 of the family's 1533-position model. Lineage: Bacteria; Pseudomonadati; Pseudomonadota; Gammaproteobacteria; Oceanospirillales; Halomonadaceae. The record is from RNAcentral.
CCUACGGGUGGCAGCAGUGGGGAAUAUUGGACAAUGGGCGAAAGCCUGAUCCAGCCAUGCCGCGUGUGCGAAGAAGGCCUUCGGGUUGUAAAGCACUUUCAGUGGGGAAGAAAGCCUUGGGGCUAAUACCCUCGAGGAAGGACAUCACCCACAGAAGAAGCACCGGCUAACUCCGUGCCAGCAGCCGCGGUAAUACGGAGGGUGCGAGCGUUAAUCGGAAUUACUGGGCGUAAAGCGCGCGUAGGCGGUCUGAUAAGCCGGUUGUGAAAGCCCCGGGCUCAACCUGGGAACGGCAUCCGGAACUGUCAGGCUAGAGUGCAGGAGAGGAAGGUAGAAUUCCCGGUGUAGCGGUGAAAUGCGUAGAGAUCGGGAGGAAUACCAGUGGCGAAGGCGGCCUUCUGGACUGACACUGACGCUGAGGUGCGAAAGCGUGGGUAGCAAACAGGAUUAGAUACCCCAGUAGUC